CACGCCGUAAACGAUGAAUACUAGGUGUUGGGGAGCAAAGCUCUUCGGUGCCGUCGCAAACGCAGUAAGUAUUCCACCUGGGGAGUACGUUCGCAAGAAUGAAACUCAAAGGAAUUGACG
This 120-nucleotide ribosomal RNA is filed under the name uncultured bacterium. RNAcentral describes it as "partial 16S ribosomal RNA". It matches the Rfam family "Bacterial small subunit ribosomal RNA", at positions 796 to 915 of the family's 1533-position model. The record is from RNAcentral.